UUCUCUCGUCUGACAGUACUGGUGCUAUCAGCAUUGCGCGUGACCCGGUGCGACAUGAGCUCAGCAAGCACAUUGGUGUGGAUGCUUUCUUUUCGCGCGCGGCUGUGCAGGAUGAGGUUAUCGCUCUUCAGUAUGUGCCUUCGGAGUUACAGCUGGCGGAUUUCUUCACGAAGCCACAGACUAGAGCACAACAUGGGUUUUUUCUCUCCAAACUCAGUGUUGUUGACCCACCAUGAGUUUGAGGGGGGGUGUUAGAUAUGUAUAGACCCCUUUUCCCUUUUCCUGUAUAUCCCCAGUGUAUAAGGGGUUUCCUGCACACUACACACUUGUAUAUGUACUGGCCUUUGGCCCCCAGAGAAGUUAGUUGCUCAUUUCUCUAUCAAUAUACAGUUUCCUCACAGUAAGAUCAUAUAAUUUCGUUUUCCAUAUGGUCAACUUUGUCAACUUUCUUCAUGUUAGAAAAUUUAGCGUUCAAACUUUAGGCGUGUUCAUAAUACAACUUCUAGGAAUCUAUAUCUGACCAAGUAAGCAUUUCAGGUAAGUCGUGCUUGAACCUUUCAUAUAUCCACUUAUCUGCUACAAGCUCAAGUGUUCACUACAUGAGUGUCAUUUGGCACGCCUUUAGCACUUUACUUAUUUCACUAACUACACAGGGUUUGCAGAGAGGCUCCUGGGAGUAAGAUUUGCUUUUGAUGGUGAUCGACCGCACGUUGCUGUCCAAUUGUUAACAAUUUACUUGGUCCCCUUAACUAACACACAGACAAAAGGUUUAGGACCACGUUUAACUCUCAGGACCCUGCUCCGGUGUUCCAUGGCACUGAUGGUGUGCAUCAUAUAAACAUGUAUUGGCGCCGGUUAGCUGCACUAUGUAAUCGAAUAUAAAUACGAACGCUGCUUCUAUCUCUUCUA
Long non-coding RNA from Lolium perenne, 909 nucleotides. RefSeq lists it as uncharacterized. The record is from RefSeq and is a predicted model, not a curated record. NCBI's taxonomy places the organism in Eukaryota, Viridiplantae, Streptophyta, Magnoliopsida, Poales, Poaceae.